RNAcentral lists this ribosomal RNA (497 nucleotides) under uncultured bacterium. RNAcentral describes it as "partial 16S ribosomal RNA". It matches the Rfam family "Bacterial small subunit ribosomal RNA", at positions 28 to 507 of the family's 1533-position model. The record is from RNAcentral.
GAUGAACGCUGGCGGCGUGCCUAAUACAUGCAAGUCGAGCGAACAGACGAGGAGCUUGCUCCUCUGACGUUAGCGGCGGACGGGUGAGUAACACGUGGAUAACCUACCUAUAAGACUGGGAUAACUUCGGGAAACCGGAGCUAAUACCGGAUAAUAUAUUGAACCGCAUGGUUCAAUAGUGAAAGACGGUUUUGCUGUCACUUAUAGAUGAAUCCGCGCCGCAUUAGCUAGUUGGUAAGGUAACGGCUUACCAAGGCAACGAUGCGUAGCCGACCUGAGAGGGUGAUCGGCCACACGGGAGCGGAGACACGGUCCAGACUCCUACGAGAGGCAGCAGUAGGGAAUCUGCCGCAAUGGGCGAAAGCUUGACGGAGCAACGCCGCGUGAGUGAUGAAGGUCUUCGGAUCGUAAAACUCUGUUAUUAGGGAAGAACAAAUGUGUAAGUAACUAUGCACGUCGUGACGGUACCUAAUCAGAAAGCCACGGCUAACUACGUG